UCAAUAUUGUCAGGUAUUUUGCUUUCCAGGCUGUUCCAGACCCUUGGCUCCUCUAAAACCUCUUUUUGCUCACUUAGUGAUAAGGAAGAUUUGUUUUUUAUUAAAAUAUUAAAAAUGUUUUAUGCGUACAUGUAUUUUACCUACAUAUUUGUCUGUGCACCCUAUAUGUGCCCAGUACCUGGAGAGGUCAGAGGAGGGGCAUCCGCAUUGGAUCCCCUGGAACUGGAGUUACAUAUGGUUGUGAGCCACAUGUGGGUACUGGGAAGCAAAUCCAGACUGAAAGAGCAGCUUGAAACUUCUCCCCAGCCUCAGGAAGAUUUGUUUCUGUCUGUAUAAUGUGGCAUAAUCUUGUGGGUAAGGAUAGAGAUGGGCUGGUAAAAUGGCUUCAUGGUAAAGGCCACUUGACCUAGAGACAUGAGUUUAAACCCUGGAACCCAUGUAAAGGUGAAGAGGGAGAACCGCAGAAUCGUCUUCUGACUUUACAUACGCGCUGCAUUCUGUGAUCAGAUCUCCCCUGCCCCCCACCCCCUCACAAAGACAUUACUUUUAAAUAUAUUUUUUGAAAGAACACAUACAGUGCUGGGGAGAAGGGAAGACCUUAGGGUUCCAGCCUCAGCAUGGAAAAGAACAAAUCCCGCCUCUGAUUAGUAUCCUAACUUUGUCUUAGGAAUGAAUCAUUGUCAUCCCAUAUGCCUCAUUGUCCCCGUCUGCAUGUCAGUGUA
Molecule: long non-coding RNA, 722 nt
Filed under: Rattus norvegicus (Norway rat)
Lineage: Eukaryota; Metazoa; Chordata; Mammalia; Rodentia; Muridae
Description: long non-coding RNA NONRATT022058
Source: RNAcentral